This 465-nucleotide ribosomal RNA is filed under the name Vreelandella stevensii. RNAcentral describes it as "partial 16S ribosomal RNA". It matches the Rfam family "Bacterial small subunit ribosomal RNA", at positions 338 to 795 of the family's 1533-position model. Lineage: Bacteria; Pseudomonadati; Pseudomonadota; Gammaproteobacteria; Oceanospirillales; Halomonadaceae. The record is from RNAcentral.
CCUACGGGUGGCAGCAGUGGGGAAUAUUGGACAAUGGGGGGAACCCUGAUCCAGCCAUGCCGCGUGUGUGAAGAAGGCCCUCGGGUUGUAAAGCACUUUCAGUGAGGAAGAACGCGUGGUGGUUAAUACCCAUCGGGAAAGACAUCACUCACAGAAGAAGCACCGGCUAACUCCGUGCCAGCAGCCGCGGUAAUACGGAGGGUGCGAGCGUUAAUCGGAAUUACUGGGCGUAAAGCGCGCGUAGGUGGCUUGAUAAGCCGGUUGUGAAAGCCCCGGGCUCAACCUGGGAACGGCAUCCGGAACUGUCAAGCUAGAGUGCAGGAGAGGAAGGUAGAAUUCCCGGUGUAGCGGUGAAAUGCGUAGAGAUCGGGAGGAAUACCAGUGGCGAAGGCGGCCUUCUGGACUGACACUGACACUGAGGUGCGAAAGCGUGGGUAGCAAACAGGAUUAGAUACCCCUGUAGUC